AUUGAACGCUGGCGGCAUGCCUUACACAUGCAAGUCGAACGGUAACAGGUCUUCGGAUGCUGACGAGUGGCGCACGGGUGAGUAAUACAUCGGAACGUGCCCGAUCGUGGGGGAUAACGAAGCGAAAGCUUUGCUAAUACCGCAUAAGAUCUACGGAUGAAAGCAGGGGACCGCAAGGCCUUGCGCGAACGGAGCGGCCGAUGGCAGAUUAGGUAGUUGGUGGGAUAAAAGCUUACCAAGCCGACGAUCUGUAGCUGGUCUGAGAGGACGACCAGCCACACUGGAACUGAGACACGGCCCAGACUCCUACGGGAGGCAGCAGUGGGGAAUUUUGGACAAUGGGCGAAAGCCUGAUCCAGCCAUGCCGCGUGCAGGAUGAAGGCCUUCGGGUUGUAAACUGCUUUUGUACGGAACGAAAAGACUCUGGUUAAUACCUGGGGUCCAUGACGGUACCGUAAGAAUAAGCACCGGCUAACUACGUG
RNAcentral lists this ribosomal RNA (482 nucleotides) under uncultured bacterium. RNAcentral's name for it is "partial 16S ribosomal RNA". It matches the Rfam family "Bacterial small subunit ribosomal RNA", at positions 30 to 507 of the family's 1533-position model. The record is from RNAcentral.